GGGAUAUAGCGCAGCGGAAGCGCGUUUGUUUUGGGAACAAAAGGCCACAGGUUCAAAUCCUGUUAUCCC
Molecule: transfer RNA, 69 nt
Filed under: Prototheca zopfii
Lineage: Eukaryota; Viridiplantae; Chlorophyta; Trebouxiophyceae; Chlorellales; Chlorellaceae
Description: tRNA-Pro
Rfam family: tRNA
About the family: Transfer RNA (tRNA) molecules are approximately 80 nucleotides in length. Their secondary structure includes four short double-helical elements and three loops (D, anti-codon, and T loops). Further hydrogen bonds mediate the characteristic L-shaped molecular structure. tRNAs have two regions of fundamental functional importance: the anti-codon, which is responsible for specific mRNA codon recognition, and the 3' end, to which the tRNAs corresponding amino acid is attached (by aminoacyl-tRNA synthetases). tRNAs cope with the degeneracy of the genetic code in two manners: having more than one tRNA (with a specific anti-codon) for a particular amino acid; and 'wobble' base-pairing, i.e. permitting non-standard base-pairing at the 3rd anti-codon position.
Source: RNAcentral